UGUAUUUAGAGGAAGUAUAAGUCGUAACCACGGUCUCCGUAGGUGAACCUGCGGAGGAAUCAUUU
RNAcentral lists this ribosomal RNA (65 nucleotides) under Crepidotus mollis. Its description in RNAcentral is "partial 18S ribosomal RNA". It matches the Rfam family "Eukaryotic small subunit ribosomal RNA", at positions 1768 to 1831 of the family's 1831-position model. Lineage: Eukaryota; Fungi; Basidiomycota; Agaricomycetes; Agaricales; Crepidotaceae. The record is from RNAcentral.